GGUUAAGCGACUAAGCGUACACGGUGGAUGCCCUGGCAGUCAGAGGCGAUGAAGGGCGUGCUAAUCUGCGAUAAGCGCCGGUAAGGUGAUAUGAACCGUUAUAACCGGCGAUACCCGAAUGGGGAAACCCAGUGUGAUUCGUCACACUAUCAUUAACUGAAUCCAUAGGUUAAUGAGGCGAACCGGGGGAACUGAAACAUCUAAGUACCCCGAGGAAAAGAAAUCAACCGAGAUUCCCCCAGUAGCGGCGAGCGAACGGGGAGGAGCCCAGAGCCUGAAUCAGCAUGUGUGUUAGUGGAAGCGUCUGGAAAGGCGCGCGAUACAGGGUGACAGCCCCGUACACAAAAGCGCAUGUGCUGUGAGCUCGAUGAGUAGGGCGGGACACGUGGUAUCCUGUCUGAAUAUGGGGGGACCAUCCUCCAAGGCUAAAUACUCCUGACUGACCGAUAGUGAACCAGUACCGUGAGGGAAAGGCGAAAAGAACCCCGGCGAGGGGAGUGAAAAAGAACCUGAAACCGUGUACGUACAAGCAGUGGGAGCCCCACCACUAAGCCAGUGGUGAACUCCACAUCCGCAUCCUUUGCUGAGGAUACGGUUAACGGAGCGAAAGCGACGUUCAACCGCAAAACAAGCAGAGGGGGCUUAGUGGUGGGGUGACUGCGUACCUUUUGUAUAAUGGGUCAGCGACUUAUAUUCUGUAGCAAGGUUAACCGAAUAGGGGAGCCGGAGGGAAACCGAGUCUUAAUUGGGCGUUAAGUUGCAGGGUAUAGACCCGAAACCCGGUGAUCUAGCCAUGGGCAGGUUGAAGGUUGGGUAACACUAACUGGAGGACCGAACCGACUAAUGUUGAAAAAUUAGCGGAUGACCUGUGGCUGGGGGUGAAAGGCCAAUCAAACCGGGAGAUAGCUGGUUCUCCCCGAAAGCUAUUUAGGUAGCGCCUCGUGAAUUCAUCUCCGGGGGUAGAGCACUGUUUCGGCUAGGGGGCCAUCCCGGCUUACCAACCCGAUGCAAACUGCGAAUACCGGAGAAUGUUAUCACGGGAGACACACGGCGGGUGCUAACGUCCGUCGUGAAGAGGGAAACAACCCAGACCGCCAGCUAAGGUCCCAAAGUCAUGGUUAAGUGGGAAACGAUGUGGGAAGGCCCAGACAGCCAGGAUGUUGGCUUAGAAGCAGCCAUCAUUUAAAGAAAGCGUAAUAGCUCACUGGUCGAGUCGGCCUGCGCGGAAGAUGUAACGGGGCUAAACCAUGCACCGAAGCUGCGGCAGCGAACGUAUCACUUAAAGCGAUUCAGCGGGUUACGAUUGACGGAGCGAAGCGACGUCAAAGCGUAUACAAAGUCGAGUCGGUUUAAGGAUACGUUCGUUGGGUAGGGGAGCGUUCUGUAAGCCCGUGAAGGUGGCCUGUGAGGGUUGCUGGAGGUAUCAGAAGUGCGAAUGCUGACAUAAGUAACGAUAAAGCGGGUGAAAAGCCCGCUCGCCGGAAGACCAAGGGUUCCUGUCCAACGUUAAUCGGGGCAGGGUGAGUCGACCCCUAAGGCGAGGCCGAAAGGCGUAGUCGAUGGGAAACGGGUUAAUAUUCCCGUACUUGGUGUUACUGCGAAGGGGGGACGGAGAAGGCUAUGUUGGCCGGGCGACGGUUGUCCCGGUUUAAGCGUGUAGGUGUGUGUUCCAGGUAAAUCCGGUUCACUUUAACACUGAGGCGUGAUGACGAGGCACUACGGUGCUGAAGCAACAAAUGCCCUGCUUCCAGGAAAAGCCUCUAAGCAUCAGGUAACACGAAAUCGUACCCCAAACCGACACAGGUGGUCAGGUAGAGAAUACCAAGGCGCUUGAGAGAACUCGGGUGAAGGAACUAGGCAAAAUGGUGCCGUAACUUCGGGAGAAGGCACGCUGACACGUAGGUGAAGUGAUUUACUCAUGGAGCUGAAGUCAGUCGAAGAUACCAGCUGGCUGCAACUGUUUAUUAAAAACACAGCACUGUGCAAACACGAAAGUGGACGUAUACGGUGUGACGCCUGCCCGGUGCCGGAAGGUUAAUUGAUGGGGUCAGCGCAAGCGAAGCUCCUGAUCGAAGCCCCGGUAAACGGCGGCCGUAACUAUAACGGUCCUAAGGUAGCGAAAUUCCUUGUCGGGUAAGUUCCGACCUGCACGAAUGGCGUAAUGAUGGCCAGGCUGUCUCCACCCGAGACUCAGUGAAAUUGAACUCGCUGUGAAGAUGCAGUGUACCCGCGGCAAGACGGAAAGACCCCGUGAACCUUUACUAUAGCUUGACACUGAACAUUGAGCCUUGAUGUGUAGGAUAGGUGGGAGGCUUUGAAGUGUGGACGCCAGUCUGCAUGGAGCCGACCUUGAAAUACCACCCUUUAAUGUUUGAUGUUCUAACGUGGACCCGUAAUCCGGGUUGCGGACAGUGUCUGGUGGGUAGUUUGACUGGGGCGGUCUCCUCCUAAAGAGUAACGGAGGAGCACGAAGGUUGGCUAAUCCUGGUCGGACAUCAGGAGGUUAGUGCAAUGGCAUAAGCCAGCUUGACUGCGAGCGUGACGGCGCGAGCAGGUGCGAAAGCAGGUCAUAGUGAUCCGGUGGUUCUGAAUGGAAGGGCCAUCGCUCAACGGAUAAAAGGUACUCCGGGGAUAACAGGCUGAUACCGCCCAAGAGUUCAUAUCGACGGCGGUGUUUGGCACCUCGAUGUCGGCUCAUCACAUCCUGGGGCUGAAGUAGGUCCCAAGGGUAUGGCUGUUCGCCAUUUAAAGUGGUACGCGAGCUGGGUUUAGAACGUCGUGAGACAGUUCGGUCCCUAUCUGCCGUGGGCGCUGGAGAACUGAGGGGGGCUGCUCCUAGUACGAGAGGACCGGAGUGGACGCAUCACUGGUGUUCGGGUUGUCAUGCCAAUGGCACUGCCCGGUAGCUAAAUGCGGAAGAGAUAAGUGCUGAAAGCAUCUAAGCACGAAACUUGCCCCGAGAUGAGUUCUCCCUGAGACUUAGAGUCUCCUGAAGGAACGUUGAAGACGACGACGUUGAUAGGCCGGGUGUGUAAGCGCAGCGAUGCGUUGAGCUAACCGGUACUAAUGAACCGUGAGGCUUAACCUU
Molecule: ribosomal RNA, 3088 nt
Filed under: Salmonella enterica subsp. enterica serovar Typhimurium
Lineage: Bacteria; Pseudomonadati; Pseudomonadota; Gammaproteobacteria; Enterobacterales; Enterobacteriaceae
Description: 23S ribosomal RNA
Rfam family: Bacterial large subunit ribosomal RNA
Source: RNAcentral